GGAAGGUGGAGGUGCCAGAUGCCUCCUCCACUUCAGUGGUCACUGCUGAGAGUGCUCCUUGGGAAUAUCAGAUGGAAGGGUCUUUGAGGAAGGAUGACUUCCUCUGGAGUACGGAGGAGCAGGUCAAAGAAUUUAGGCAUAUAUCACUGGGGUCCAGGGAUUUGCAGGCAAGGUGCCUGAGGACUCGUGGGUAGCCAGCAUCACUGCAGCCUUCAGAAAGGGUGAGAAGGAGGGCCUGCGCAACUGUAGGCUGUUCAGGAUCACCUCCCUCCCUGGCACUGAAAUGGGACAGCUUGUUCUGGAUGUCAUCUCUAAGGAGCGGUCAUGGUGGAUUCAGCAAGAGGAAGUGAUGAUGGACUGACCUGGUAGCUUUCUGUGUUGUGACUGUCUGGUUGGAUGAGAGAAGGGCAGUGGAUGUUGUGGGGUGGAAUAUCACUCCUGUCAGUAAAUAUCUAAGUGUGGAGUUGAUGGGAGUGGGCUUGUGCAGGCACAGAUGGAAGGUAUGUGGUGGUAGAAUGGGGGUAAUGUUCACAGGCUGGAACACUGGUGGUUCUAUAGAAACAGAGGGAAGAUGGGUUUCACUGUGAGGGUGAUGGAAUAGGCUGUGGGGUCCCCUUCCCUGGGGAUUUAAGUUGCACCUGGCUGUUUUUGUGGGUGAUAUGCUAUGUAGGGAGGCUGCAUGAUCUGUUCACAGGGUGAGCGCCACAGUGGAGCAUUGAGGAUCAGCCUGAGGAAGGAUGUGAGCUGUCUGACCUGCCUACCUGGUGGCCCUUCAAGAAUGUGUUUGAGUUCUUCCUGCAGGUUCAGGGUGGGUGUCCUACUGAUGUGACUGCAGGGGCUCUGUGGAGUGAGGUGAGCUGUGCUGUCUCAGGGCUGGGACUGGGUGUUGGUGUGUUUUGGUUUUAUUCCUGAAGGUGUGUGGCAGGCCCACUGGUGGUGCUGGAGUUGUUUCAGUCUUCCAGGGCUGUUGUCUUCCCUUGGAUUGCGGUGCAGCUGGUGUGCCAGGAGGAAGGUCCCCAUCCUGGGUGCUGCAGAACUGUCAGGAGUAGCUCCUGUGUGGUGACUGCUCUGUGGUGGUGCUUCUGGUCCUGAAGGUGGGAGAUGGAGUGAGGAGGAGCUGGGUUCUGUGUUCCUGCUGAAGGAGAAAAUUCAUUUCAUUUCAAACCUCAGUGUUUGCCCCCAAAAUACUGGUGACUAACCUUACUUCUGUGGAGCGGAAAGUGGGUGAAGAUGCAUCCCUUUUGUAGAAGAAUGAGUGGCUUGUGAUGGCUUUCCGGGAAGACUGAUCUGCUGCAGGUGUGAUUGCUCUGUGUUGUGGGGGAGAAUUGGGAUGCCUAAGAAUAUCUGCACUGGAGUGGGAAUGACUAGGCUUAGCUAACUCAAGUUUUCAUGGUGAAGUGGAUACCUGUCCAUCUCUGACUUUAAAACAACAGUAAAUCCUUGCUUACCUCACAAAGAUGCGCUGUCUAUUUCUGUGCUUGGGCUCUGUUUCCUUGCUGCUGCUGAUAUUCAUCUUGGGGGAACACAGAAAGGGAGAAAAAUGACCCCUGAAGCAGUAGACUAUUUAGCAUUGCAUGUUCUGCAAAAGAAAAACAAGUGAGACUUAAUAACAAAUAGUUUUACAAGUUAUCUACUGCAGAAGUACAGUGUGUCAGACUUGCUUUACUCACUGAAUGAAAUGGUAGAGUACAUUGUCAGCGUUUGUAUUGUUGCAACUGUAUUUCUAGAGAAGCAUUUCUUGAGCUCUGUAGAGCUUCCCAGGAUCAUGGUAUGGUGUGCCAUCCCAAUAGAGUGGCUGUGACUGUCUUUCAAAAGAACUCUGCUUUCCAUCUUUUUAAGAAGAGUUCACUGAGAACUGUCUCUGGUUUCUUGGUAGGUAACCUGAGCUACUGCUUCACUGCACAACCCUUUGGAUUGAAUUGUGAAUAAGAAACCAUACUGGAUCAGAAGGGACUUGCAACUCUGGGAGACUGCCUGGACUCCAACUGCUAUGGCUGGGAGCAGCAUCCAAAUGCUUUGUGAACUGUCAGCCAUGGGCUGUGACUGCUGUCUCAGAGAAGCCUGUUUUGCUAUCUCACCCCUCUUUCUGACAAGUUUUUCUUCAUCUGCAACCUCUACCUUCUCUGACCUCUACAGCCUCCUUUCAGCUUAAAAAGAGAGGGAAUUUGAGCCUUCCUUGGAUGCUCGCUGAGAGCUCUUAUGUUAUAUUGCAGGUUGCAGAGCUGCACACUAUGCUCACGGUGAGGCUUUACCUCCCUGGAGCAGUGUGGGAUGAUCCCUUCCUUUGUUCAGCCGGGUGUGCUGGGCCUGAGGUGCCCCAGGGUGUGGUCAACCUUCUAAAUGACCAGGCAUGCUGCUGACUUGAAUUUAACUUGCUGCCAACUGUGGCACCCAGAUUCCUUUCCCUGGGGCAGCUCUCUGACCUCAUUCCCCCCUGUUCUGUAUGGGUAGCUGGGGUUGGCCUGUCUCACAUACAGAAUCAGGUGCUGGCUGCUGACAAAAUUCACACAGUUGGUGACUGUAGGGCCUGCUACUGUGUAGAGUUUGCUCUGCAGAGCCUGUUUACCCCUGAGGAGUCCCCAGCUCCUCCAAAUUUAGUGUCAUCAGCAAAAAUACUUAAUAUGCAUUUGACUCCUGUGUCCUGAUCAUUUAUAGAAAUACCAAAGGGAACUGCCCCUGCCAAGAAGCCCCUGGAAUUUGACUGGAGCCUGGCUGCCAGCCUCACAUAAUCUCAUUUAAUUCAAACAGAAUUAAAUUAGAUUUAGAUUUAAAUUUAACAAAUACUUGGAGCUGCUUUGGUAGGGGACUGAGUCACUGCUUGCUGUUUGUUUGUCUUAAGAGGUAUAGUUAGGAAGGGCUGUUUUCUGACACAGCAUUUAGUUUCUGGAUCCCCUUACCUGACAAGAAUUUUCCUUACCUACUCAAAGAGAUAAUACACACUUGGAAUUACACCACAGGCAAAGAUGUCUUGUUUUUGAACAGAUGGAGUUAAUAAAUGCAUCCCUCUAAUAGAGGAAUGGAAUAAGAGCUGUCUUAUAGCAUUAAUAAAUUCAUAGCUACUGAAUAAAGUUAAAUAUUUUCAACCACUACAAUCUAAAUCAUUUCACUAUUCACAUUUUCUGCAUAGUAAGAUUACUGGGGUGUAUCCUACCAUUAAUAGUCAGAAUGACUGACCAAGAAGUACAGAUUGCCACAAUAAAACCUAAAGCUGCAAAAAACAAACAACAACAA
Molecule: long non-coding RNA, 3231 nt
Filed under: Gallus gallus (chicken)
Lineage: Eukaryota; Metazoa; Chordata; Aves; Galliformes; Phasianidae
Source: RNAcentral